AUGUCAAAGGCUUGCACGCAUGAACUACAGCGGGUGCAGACAAAGUUGCAGAUCCCAGCCAUGACGCAAACUAGUACUGCUAAUAAUCAAACCAAAAUCACCUUCCACCUCAACGUGUCAUCCGUUCAUCCAUACACUGUCACUUUACCAAGUGACUCUGAAUCGGCCAGGUCGAAUCGAUCGCUCGUGAGAAAGUUCCCGACCCAGUUUACCCAGACCGGCACGCCAACCCCGACAGCUACCGUUACCAACACACACACACACGCUUUCACCUCCAGAGCACGCACCGCGCAGAGAAAUACAGUACUGUAG
RNAcentral lists this ribosomal RNA (312 nucleotides) under Triticum aestivum (bread wheat). RNAcentral describes it as "partial small subunit ribosomal RNA". Lineage: Eukaryota; Viridiplantae; Streptophyta; Magnoliopsida; Poales; Poaceae. The record is from RNAcentral.